This 461-nucleotide ribosomal RNA is filed under the name uncultured bacterium. Its description in RNAcentral is "bacterial SSU rRNA". It matches the Rfam family "Bacterial small subunit ribosomal RNA", at positions 85 to 530 of the family's 1533-position model. The record is from RNAcentral.
GGUGUAUAAAGCGGCGAACGGGUGAGUAACGCGUGGACAACCUGUCCUGUAGUGGGGAACAACUUCGGGAAACCGGAGCUAAUUCCGCAGAUGUUGUUUUCUCACAAGAGGAAAUGACUGAAGACGGGGUAACCUGUCGCUACAGGAGGGGUCCGCGUCCCAUUAGCUUGUUGGCGGGGUAACGGCCCACCAAGGCGACGAUGGGUAGCUGGUCUGAGAGGACGAUCAGCCACAGUGGCACUGAGACACGGGCCACACUCCUACGGGAGGCAGCAGUGGGGAAUCUUCCGCAAUGGGCGAAAGCCUGACGGAGCGACGCCGCGUGCGGGAUGAAGGCUCUAGGGUCGUAAACCGCUGUCAGGAGGGAGGAAUAAGGUGCGGAGUAACUGCCGCAUCGAUGACGUUACCUCCAGAGGAAGCCCCGGCUAAUCCUACGUGCCAGCAGCCGCGGUAAUACGUAA